This 459-nucleotide ribosomal RNA is filed under the name uncultured bacterium. Its description in RNAcentral is "partial 16S ribosomal RNA". It matches the Rfam family "Bacterial small subunit ribosomal RNA", at positions 338 to 795 of the family's 1533-position model. The record is from RNAcentral.
CCUACGGGUGACAGCAGUGAGGAAUAUUGGUCAAUGGUCGGGAGACUGAACCAGCCAAGCCGCGUGAGGGAUGAAGGUACAGAGUAUCGUAAACCUCUUUUGUCAGGGAACAAAGGCGGGGACGUGUCCCCGGAUGAGUGUACCUGAAGAAAAAGCAUCGGCUAACUCCGUGCCAGCAGCCGCGGUAAUACGGCGGAUGCGAGCGUUAUCCGGAUUUAUUGGGUUUAAAGGGUGCGCAGGCGGUCUGUUAAGUCAGCGGUAAAAGCCCGGGGCUCAACCCCGGCCCGCCGUUGAAACUGGCAGUCUCGAGUUGGAGAGAAGUAUGCGGAAGGCGCGGUGUAGCGGUGAAAUGCGUAGAUAUCGCGCAGAACUCCGAUUGCGAAGGCAGCAUGCCGGCUCCACACUGACGCUGAGGCACGAAAGCGUGGGUAUCGAACAGGAUUAGAUACCCGAGUAGUC